GACGUAGGGCGCGAGCGUUGUCCGGAUUUAUUGGGCGUAAAGAGCUCGUAGGCGGCUUGUCGCGUCGUUCGUGAAAACUCACAGCUCAACUGUGAGCUUGCGGUCGAUACGGGCAGGCUAGAGUUCGGUAGGGGAGACUGGAAUUCCUGGUGUAGCGGUGAAAUGCGCAGAUAUCAGGAGGAACACCGGUGGCGAAGGCGGCCCCCUGGCUCGUACCUGACGCUCAGCCACGAAAGCAUGGGGAGCGAACGGG
This 253-nucleotide ribosomal RNA is filed under the name uncultured bacterium. RNAcentral describes it as "partial 16S ribosomal RNA". It matches the Rfam family "Bacterial small subunit ribosomal RNA", at positions 524 to 776 of the family's 1533-position model. The record is from RNAcentral.